RNAcentral lists this unclassified non-coding RNA (1831 nucleotides) under uncultured fungus. Its description in RNAcentral is "sequence contains 18S rRNA gene, ITS1, 5.8S rRNA gene, ITS2, 28S rRNA gene". The stretch from base 907 to 1831 matches the Rfam family "Eukaryotic large subunit ribosomal RNA", at positions 1 to 961 of the family's 3401-position model. The record is from RNAcentral. Lineage: Eukaryota; Fungi.
GGAAGGAUCAUUGAAUCUAUAAAAACCACAAUGUGAACCCCAACGUUAGUCGAAUCCUGGUCCUUUGGUCGGUGCCUAGUGCAUCGACCAGAGGUGCUCGAGCACGACCCCAGAGAAAGAGAAACUGGUCACCCCGCCCCUUAUGAUGCAUUGAUGCCCUCCCAACUAGCAGUGGCGGGAACUUGUACUUCGGGUCUUUACACGUUUGUACGAGACGCAGUCAUCUUGGGUGUUAGCACGGUUGCGGAAGCAGCCCUGCUGUGAAUGGAUCUUUCUCCUAUCUGGGCGAAUGCGGAAGCAGGCUUGUCCCCGGUGCUUUGUUACUGCUAACCCCAGUGGCAAAGCAGCGACGGAUAGGCAGCUAGUGGACGACACCCCUGUCCAACCACUCUAAACAAAACCAACUGAAGCUUAAGCGUCAGCUUGCUGAUUGCUAAAACCAAAGACAACUCUCAACAACGGAUAUCUUGGCUCUCGCAACGAUGAAGAACGCAGCGAAAUGCGAUACGUAGUGUGAAUUGCAGAAUUCCGUGAACCAUCGAAUCUUUGAACGCAUAUUGCGGUCGAGCUUUCGGGCGAGACCAUGUCUGCCUCAGCGUCGGUAUUACCAUCCCCCAACACCCUUGUAUGCCUCUGGCAUGCAAGUCGUGAGGCCCUUGCUUCAUAGCGAGUGGCCGUUUGGGGGGAUCUGGCAGUCUCUAACUCCUUACUAUAGACGUUUGGAGGGGGGGUCUGCUUAAGCACAAAGUGAGAGGACAUUACCUCUCUUCGGGUCAUGUAGUCCACUCCUCACGAUCAACCCUAACGGGCUUUUCGUUCAGGCGUCCUGCACGAUGUUGAGUUGGUACUUCUGCUUGCAGAUUACUCCCACUAAAAGGAAUGUGCGCUUGCGCACAACAAUACUUUCGACCUGAGCUCAGGCAAGAUUACCCGCUGAACUUAAGCAUAUCACUAAGCGGAGGAAAAGAAACUAACAAGGAUUCCCCUAGUAACGGCGAGCGAACCGGGAAAAGCCCAGAAUGUAAAUCUCCCUCGGAGAAUUGUAGUCUAUAGAAGCAUUCACUGUAGCGGACGCGACUUAAGUCUCCUGGAAAGGGGCGUCAGAGAGGGUGAGAACCCCGUCGGUCGUAGUCUAGCUGCUCCACGUGGUGCUUUCACAGAGUCGGGUUGCUUGGGAAUGCAGCCCUAAUUUGGUGGUAAAUCCCAUCUAAGGCUAAAUAUUGGCGAGAGACCGAUAGCGAACAAGUACCGUGAGGGAAAGAUGAAAAGAACUUUGAAAAGAGAGUUAAAAAGUGCUUGAAAUUGUUGAGGGGGAAGCGAUUGGAAGUUAUGGGUGCGCCUAGGCUUAUGGGUACUUAACGGUGCUCUGUACGUGCUAGGUGCUGGUCAACAUGGGUUGGGCUAGCAGGAUAAACGCUAAGAAUGCUCUUGGUCUAUACUGCUGGCCCGGCUGAGGAAUGAAUGGCGCCCUUGUCCUUCGGGAACUGCGUCAUCAAGAUGUUGGCGAAAGGUUUCCAAUCGACCCGUCUUGAAACACGGACCAAGGAGUCUAACAUGUAUGCGAGCUGGUGGGUGGUAAACCCAUGAAGCGCAAGUAACCUGACUGGUGGGAGGGCCUGUGCCUGCACCAUCGACCGACCAUGAUCUUCUGUGAAAGGUUUGAGUUUGAGCAUACCUGUUGGGACCCGAAAGAUGGUGAACUAUGCCUGAGCAGGGCGAAGCCAGAGGAAACUCUGGUGGAGGCUCGUAGAUGUGCUGACGUGCAAAUCGCUUUUCGGACUUGGGUAUAGGGGCGAAAGACUAAUCGAACCAUCUAGUAGCUGGUUCCCUC